GAAAAAUAUUCUUGUAGCUACAGGCUAUUCUAUACUUCUUCCAUAAGAGGGAAAGACCUUUUAACGAGUAAUAAAUAUAUAUCAACAAAAUUAUUCCUCAAUUUCAAACUAGUUUUUGUCAGACAUUUGACUCCUCUAUACCCGUUGCGCUCCACUGAAACCCAGUUCUCAAUGCUGGAUAAUUGCUCUUUUAGAAAAUUAGGGGUUCCUCAAAACUAGAUGUCUCUUGAUCUGUCACUUAG
This 242-nucleotide unclassified non-coding RNA is filed under the name Hevea brasiliensis (rubber tree). Lineage: Eukaryota; Viridiplantae; Streptophyta; Magnoliopsida; Malpighiales; Euphorbiaceae. The record is from RNAcentral.